GACGGGCGGGAGGCAGGGCCGGGGGUGCCCCUGGCAGCUGGAGAGAGGCGGCCGUCGGGGGGCGGGGGGGGGGGGGGGGGGGUAGGGGGGGACGCGGGGAUGGCUGAGGGGGUCUCGGCCCACAAACCAGUCCGGUGGCGUCUGAUUUCAGAUCCUGAGUCGACUCCCUGUGCUUUGCGGCGGAGGGAGGCGAUGCUGGUUCCCCGCCACACGUCGCUGCUGUCCGGGGAGCUGCAGAGCUGCGGCGAGCCCGUCACGUUGCUGGGGCCGGGCAGCGAGGCGGGCACCAUGCCGGGGAAAGCGGGCUGAUAGAGGUGCGACUGCAGCCCGGCGCCGUUGGAGCCCGCCAGGCUGUUGGAAAGCCCCAUGGAGUUGGGCGGCGGCCCGGCCGCCAGGCUGCACUGGGACAGGGACUGCGCCAUGGCCUGCUGCCUGCCCAGCGCCGGCGGCAGCGGCAGCUGCGACACCCCGGGCAUGGCGGCGGCGGCCCAGCGCGUGUCGUUGGCGUGGAAGGAGCAGAGGCUGUCGCCCAUGGCGGCGGCGGCGGCGGCGGCGGCCGAAGGGAACUGCGGCAGCCCCGGUGUCGGCAGCAGCGUGCCCGGGGCGCGGAACACGUUGGUCGUCUUCUUGCGCUUCUUCCACUUGGCCCGACGGUUCUGGAACCACACCUGGGGGCCGCAGCGACACACUCCGUUAGCGACACCCGCCCCGUCCUGCCCGCCCCGACCCCCAUCCCCCGCCUCCCCCCGGUCCCGGCGCUAGGGGGCGCGGCGGGAGGGACCCCUGCCCGCUCGCCCUCCCGUGCCUCCUCCGGCCUCACGCACUAUUGCGGCCCCACGAGCCGCGGUGCGAGCUCCAACUGCUGCAACUUCUGGCAACGAGAGGGUCUGAGUGUCCCACCCUGGACGGAGCUGCCCGCAGCCCCCUCGCUCGGGAGGAGAAGCCAGAGCUUUAUGAAGAUCUCAUUGGAAUCCAGCGGAUGAUUAAUGUGAAGAUUUGGUAGGAAAUCUGGAGAGCUGUAUUAAAGCUCAGAUCUCAGGUUCAUUUCGAUCAGCCAGCCGUGAACUCUGGGCCGAAUUCAUUACACUUUAAUAGUGCUGGGAGAGGGAGAAAAUGCAAUUUCUCAUUCCAUUAGAAAACUAGAAAAUACUCUCAGCUUGUCCCCUAUUAAGAUGUGGCAGGUGACGGGACCAUUGUGGGGGACACGGUCAAUGGAAUUACAGCACAUUAUUUUUGUUCGUAUAAAAUAUUGAAAGGCAAGCCUGACUGUGCAGAAGUUAUUUCACUGAUUUGGUUUUUAUGUAAAUAAAAUAUUGAAAGUUAAUUAAUCCGUGCUAGAGACUAAUGAUUAUGCUUAUUAUAUUGCAUUUGAUCGCGUAAUUUGCAUGAUUCUCGCAUUGCUGCUUAAUAAGCCAUUCCAGGUUAUAAAUAAUUCUGAAAUUGGUUUCUAAUAAUGGCAUGCUAUAAAAAGAAUGGUUUUAUUACACCAGCCUGAAAAGCAGAGCAAUAUCAGACGUGGAAUUGGACUCUCGUUUAAGCACCAGCCGCUCUAAUAAUUAUUUAAAUGUAUCAUAUACAUUAAAUACAGAUCUAGGACGAGGGAAGAGGUAAUUUAUCCUGGCAUCCAAAACCCUUAAAAACAUAUACAGCCGCUAUAAAUUAACUAUUUAUAUCACUUCUUAAUCAAUGCGGAGCCCUCGCGCUGCAAGGAACGUGUGGGCAAUCUGUUAACUAUAAAGAAAACUAUAAAGUACUUGUAUAAGAACAUAAACCAAUUACUAUUUAAUUUAAAUUUGGUCAAGGAGCGGUGGUACAGCAGAUUGUGAAGUAAAUACAUUUUACAUAAAUUAUUUUGCACUAGAUUACAUAAUGUUAAUCAUUCUGAAGUGUUAAUUAAGAAGGUUGUGUUGAUCUGAUUACUUUUUAAACUACAGAACAUUAUUGUAAAAAAUAUUUAAAUUGCCACCCUAUUAAACUGUUUUUAUCAGCAGCCUCGAGCUAUUAUCAUUGGUUUAAGAUUAUGCUGAGGCCAUUAAAACACUUUGUCUUUCUUUCUACGGAUUUCUUUGAUGUGCUGUUAGAAAAUAACUAUUUCCAUUUUAUAUUUUACUUCAUUUACCACACUCCUAAUAUUGAAAUUGGUAUCAUUAACCUUUGGGAAACCCAAUAAAGUUUAAUAGACCUCGUUUUCUUUUUUCAUAGAGUCAGUUGUCCAAUUAUAUUUUAUUUGUGAAUCUAAUUUCUUUCUUAAUUUAAAGUAAUUAUAGUCCUGCGUAGGCUGGGUCAAAUUGUUUUACUUUCUAGAAGCAGACGCGCAUUUUCUGUCACAUUCAGGACCUGGGACGGUUUCUGUUGAGGGGUUUCUGCUGCGUGCCUUUAUUUGGCAGAGGGGCCAGGGCUUGCCGACGGCAAUUUUGAGAGCCGGAGCUCCCAGAGCGCUGCCCUGAACUGAGAGAGCGCAUCCCACAGUGAGCGCUCCGCUCCUGAACUGCGCCCUCGGCGGGAUAUUAACGCAGCCCUGGCCCCGGAGCGCACGCCGAGCGGUCCGGCAGAGAUCCAUCUCUCACUUCUUCCAACUCCUCUCGUUUGCUUUCAGUGGUUUCUUAUGUGCCUACGUGCACGGGUAUGUCUCUCUGUGUGCAUAUCUGCGCGCACUCUAGGCGAUAGAAAAAUCGCUCCCUGCGUGUCGAAGUUACUCGCUCCUCCUGCCGAAUCCGACAUCCUAAUCGAGGAAACACCUAUUUUGGAUACCUCUGCGCUCAUCAAAAGUGCCUUUUGGCAGACGGCUUCCUCCACUCCCUCUGCGCCCUCCUUUCAGCACCGCGAACAGCUGCCCCGGCGACGGGGAGGGAGAGUGGGACGCGGGGACGGCCUCGCCGACCCGGGGCGAUUCCUCUGAGCUCGGACCCUUUGCCACGCUGGGGCUGCCCCCUCUCGGGCUAUGACUCCUGCGUCCUCCUUUGAGCUCCAGGAGCCCACA
Molecule: non-coding RNA, 2980 nt
Organism: Coturnix japonica (Japanese quail)
Lineage: Eukaryota; Metazoa; Chordata; Aves; Galliformes; Phasianidae
Source: RefSeq, a predicted model, not a curated record